Molecule: ribosomal RNA, 439 nt
Filed under: uncultured bacterium
Lineage: Bacteria
Description: bacterial SSU rRNA
Rfam family: Bacterial small subunit ribosomal RNA
Source: RNAcentral
ACGCGAAGAACCUUACCUACUCUUGACAUCCAGAGAACUUGGCAGAGAUGCCUUGGUGCCUUCGGGAACUCUGAGACAGGUGCUGCAUGGCUGUCGUCAGCUCGUGUUGUGAAAUGUUGGGUUAAGUCCCGCAACGAGCGCAACCCUUACCCUUUGUUGCCAGCGGUUAGGCCGGGAACUCAAAGGAGACUGCCAGUGAUAAACUGGAGGAAGGUGGGGAUGACGUCAAGUCAUCAUGGCCCUUACGAGUAGGGCUACACACGUGCUACAAUGGCGCAUGCAAAGAGAAGCGACCUCGCGAGAGCAAGCGGACCUCAUAAAGUGCGUCGUAGUCCGGAUUGGAGUCUGCAACUCGACUCCAUGAAGUCGGAAUCGCUAGUAAUCGUAGAUCAGAAUGCUACGGUGAAUACGUUCCCGGGCCUUGUACACACCGAAGGGC